This 1164-nucleotide long non-coding RNA is filed under the name Oryctolagus cuniculus (rabbit). RNAcentral's name for it is "lncRNA (ENSOCUG00000034432.1)". The record is from RNAcentral. Lineage: Eukaryota; Metazoa; Chordata; Mammalia; Lagomorpha; Leporidae.
AUGACACUGGUGCAGGCCACUCAGCUUUUUGUUUUCUUUUCUUUCUUUUUUUUUUUUUCUUUUUUUUUUUUUCUUUUUUUUUUUUUUUUUUUUUUUUUGACAGGCAGAGUGGGUAGUGAGAGAGAGAGACAGAGAGAAAGGUCUUCCUUUGCGGUUGGUUCACCCCGCAAUGGCCGCUGCAGCCAGUGCACUGUGCUGAUCCGAAGUCAGGAGCCAGGUGCUUCUCCUGGUCUCCCAUGGGGUCCAGGGCCCAAGGACCUGGGCCAUCCUCCACUGCACUCCCGGGCCACAGCAGAGAGCUGGCUUGGAAGAGGGGCAACCGGGACAGAAUCCAGCGCCCCAACCGGGACUAGAACCUGGUGUGCCGGCGCCGCUAGGCGGAGGAUUAGCCUAGUGAGCCACAGCACCGGCAGCUUUUUCUCCAUGGAGAUCUCGUGCACUAAGAGACCCAGUAGGCACACUGCUUGCUGUCCAGUUGCUGCUUCAGGAGCUGGCAAUCACAGCCUCGUCUGCCACCCGCCCUGCGUGGGCACAGAGUACAUGGACAGAUCUGAUGGGAUUCGCACAGGGAAGGCGACGGGCCGGCUCCAGAGGCAGCUCUGCAGGUCCUUUCCAGCUACUGUGGGAGCUCCAGCUGGCUCUUUUUCCAUAAAGCACCCCAAGUUACAUUGCUCAGGUUGCACUUUCGUGGGUACCACAAUCCUCCCAUUCCAGACCCAAGCUCUCCAUGGGUACUCUCUACAGGUACUGAGAGGCCCAGAGGUGCUAUUCCUAAGUAUUUUUUGUUGUCUCCUUUUGAUUUCCUCAGUGCCUGCUCAUUGCUGGACUCCCACAUUGAUCACCUCUGUGUCAGAGAUGCUCCUAGAGGGUGCAGACCCCCAGGAGCGCACAGCCUGGAGAGAAGGCUCUGGUCUGGGUGCUCCCUCCAAGCUCCUCAACUCCACACCCCCCCCCCCAGAAGAACAGGUGCACUUUUCAAUGUACAGGGAAUGCACAGAGACCCACCCCUUCUUGUUGGUCCCCAUGGCAGCAGGGCACCUGGGUCUUCGGUACAGGGAACGAUGGCCACCCACAGGGGUUGCCUGGUCCCCAGAGUCUUUUCUGAGCAGCCAACCCCAGGGGAGUCAGAUCCCUCCGGAAAACAUGCCAUUCUUGCUUCCCUGA